RNAcentral lists this ribosomal RNA (254 nucleotides) under uncultured bacterium. Its description in RNAcentral is "partial 16S ribosomal RNA". It matches the Rfam family "Bacterial small subunit ribosomal RNA", at positions 524 to 776 of the family's 1533-position model. The record is from RNAcentral.
UACGUAGGGUGCGAGCGUUGUCCGGAAUUAUUGGGCGUAAAGAGCUCGUAGGCGGUGUGUCGCGUCGGCCGUGAAAACCUGGGGCUUAACUCUGGGCGUGCGGUCGAUACGGGCAUCACUAGAGUUCGGCAGGGGAGACUGGAAUUCCUGGUGUAGCGGUGAAAUGCGUAGAUAUCUGGAAGAACACCGGUGGCGAAGGCGGUCAACUGGCCCUAAACUGACGCUCAGGCACGAAAGCGUGGGGAUCAAACAGG